UACAGAGGUCUCAAGCGUUGUUCGGAUUCAUUGGGCGUAAAGGGUGCGUAGGUGGCAGGGUAAGUCGGAUGUGAAAGCCCGGGGCUCAACCUCGGAACUGCAUUCGAUACUGCUUUGCUGGAGUACUGGAGAGGAGAUUGGAAUUUACGGUGUAGCAGUGAAAUGCGUAGAUAUCGUAAGGAAGACCAGUGGCGAAGGCGGAUCUCUGGACAGUUACUGACACUGAGGCACGAAGGCCAGGGGAGCAAACGGG
This 253-nucleotide ribosomal RNA is filed under the name uncultured bacterium. RNAcentral describes it as "partial 16S ribosomal RNA". It matches the Rfam family "Bacterial small subunit ribosomal RNA", at positions 524 to 776 of the family's 1533-position model. The record is from RNAcentral.